GCAGGGGGAGCAACAAGAGCCAAGUUCAUUGAGAAAUCAGUGAGAAUUUGAGCAAUGCACCUUUGACAACGCUCGGCCGCCGCCUUGCCAAUCAUAUUUUCCGGCAUUCCGUGAAAGGUCAAAGAGAUAUUGCUGCCCGCAGUAUUUCACGGAGUGGACAAUGGCGGUCACUGAGAUAAAAACGGGAGACGGAGGUCAAACGGAGGUGUGCCUUGUCAGGGUUGAUGAGUGGAAUGUCUCGCUUGAUCAAAGGGGUUGGGAGCAUCAGAAGGAGAAGGAAGCCGAGCGCUCCCAAGAGUCGCAGAGAAGGAGCUUGUGAUGUUUACUUCAUUUUCAGGCAAAUUAACAAGAAUGGGGUUUGUAUCGACCGGCCUCGAAGCACACCUGGAAGGGGAUUGGAUUACCCAGCUGGAGAUGAUCAUCCAAUCAACUGCCAUGCUAAUCAGCAGCACACAUUGUUGGAGUCGGACUUGCCGGUGAGCUGACACAGUUGCUGGACAUUGCCGGAGAGAAAAGGCCAAAAAAGACGGGAAAGUCACGGAGCAGAGAGCAAAGACUGAAAAGUUGUAGCGUGGAGUGCGGUCCUGGCGUGUGUGCACUCACAAAUAAAGAGGUUGAUGAAACCAGACCCCGGGCUACUGUGAGGAUCUGUC
Nerophis ophidion (straightnose pipefish) is the source of this 653-nucleotide long non-coding RNA. RefSeq lists it as uncharacterized. The transcript is spliced from 4 exons. NCBI's taxonomy places the organism in Eukaryota, Metazoa, Chordata, Actinopteri, Syngnathiformes, Syngnathidae. The record is from RefSeq and is a predicted model, not a curated record.